GAUGAAGAACGCAGCGAAAUGCGAUAAGUAAUGUGAAUUGCAGAAUUCAGUGAAUCAUCGAAUCUUUGAACGCACAUUGCGCCCGCCAGCAUUCUGGCGGGCAUGCCUGUUCGAGCGUCAUUUCAACCCUCGAGCCCCCCCGGGGGCCUCGGUGUUGGGGGACGGCACACCAGCCGCCCCCGAAAUGCAGUGGCGACCUCGCCGCAGCCUCCCCUGCGUAGUAGCACACACCUCGCACCGGAGCGCGGAGACGGUCACGCCGUAAAACGCCCAACUUCUUAGAGUUGACCUCGGAUCAGGUAGGAAUAUCCGCUGAACUUAAGCAUAUCAAUAAGCGGAGGA
RNAcentral lists this unclassified non-coding RNA (342 nucleotides) under soil metagenome. Its description in RNAcentral is "partial contains 5.8S ribosomal RNA, internal transcribed spacer 2, and large subunit ribosomal RNA". The stretch from base 1 to 120 matches the Rfam family "5.8S ribosomal RNA", at positions 35 to 154 of the family's 154-position model. The record is from RNAcentral.